This 67-nucleotide non-coding RNA is filed under the name Desulfovibrio sp. Lineage: Bacteria; Pseudomonadati; Thermodesulfobacteriota; Desulfovibrionia; Desulfovibrionales; Desulfovibrionaceae. The record is from RNAcentral.
GUGCGAAACCGCCCCGCGCUGGGCGGUCGUCAUGACGUGGCGGUCAUGGCCUGAUGAGCAGCCAAGA